CCUUGACAUACAAGUCCUCCUUGUCAGCCACAUAGCAAGCUGUCUUUGCAUCAAAGGGCUUGGUUUGGGCCUCAAUUCUCUCCUUCUCAGGCUUACGGAGAUUAAUUUUCAAAGUUGUUAAAGCCCCUGAAGAACAAAAUGCUGACUUACUGUGCAGUGGAACCCCCUGGUCUCUGCUGCUGAACUCUGCUCCCUCCAAGCCCUUUUAUUGGCCAUCAUCUGCAAACUGAGCAGGACCUCCC
Alosa alosa (allis shad) is the source of this 242-nucleotide long non-coding RNA. RefSeq lists it as uncharacterized. NCBI's taxonomy places the organism in Eukaryota, Metazoa, Chordata, Actinopteri, Clupeiformes, Clupeidae. The transcript is spliced from 3 exons. The record is from RefSeq and is a predicted model, not a curated record.